GUAUGGGCGGGGUGCCAAACCACUCGUCAAGAUGACGAAUCGCCCUCUCAAGGCGGUAACGGCGGUUCGAAUCCGCUCGGGAGUACCA
This 88-nucleotide transfer RNA is filed under the name Candidatus Stackebrandtia excrementipullorum. RNAcentral describes it as "tRNA-Glu". The record is from RNAcentral. Lineage: Bacteria; Bacillati; Actinomycetota; Actinomycetes; Glycomycetales; Glycomycetaceae.